Molecule: long non-coding RNA, 744 nt
Organism: Hippocampus comes (tiger tail seahorse)
Lineage: Eukaryota; Metazoa; Chordata; Actinopteri; Syngnathiformes; Syngnathidae
Exons: 2
Source: RefSeq, a predicted model, not a curated record
GAUUAAAGCAGGCAGUGCUGGGUAUAAAAGCGAGGAAAUAAAAGAGCUAAAGGAGAGUGAGAAGAGGAAGGAAAAAGAUAGGAAAGACUCAGGGGCUCUCCGACUGUCAUGACCAAUGUUCCCAUGGUUGGAAGUGACAUCAGGGGACGCUGAGAUUGACAGGGAUGGUGAAUUAAAGUUCUCUCUCGAGUCAAGAUAGAGGCUAAAGGAGCAAAAAUCAAAACGUGCAGUAAAGUUUGCCAACAAUAGCAGUGUACUCUUUGCGGUGAUAUGAAAACCCCCAGGCCAACUCCUGCUAUUCACAGACGGGACUAUCUGCACUCACACAAGCACGUCAAAGGGGGCCGCACCAAGAUGAACUAUGCUGGGAACCUGUCACAUGAAAGUGAUAAAAAAGAAAAUCCACUUAAGUAACAUUUAACAAAAUUUCUUCGAUAAGAAAAAAACGGCCCUGACAGUCAUCAUGGGCAAUGAACAAUCAUUCAAUAUGAAAACGACUUUUUGCACAGUAAAAUAUCUGUGUACGGUAUUUUAUUUUUUUCAAAAGGAAGUUCCUUCCUUAUAGCAGAGCGGAUUGUUCUCCAGCUUUGUUUAUGUAAAGCUUUGUUUAUGCUUAAAAUUAUAUUUCACUCUGUGACAGGAGCACAACCAGUUUAGUCCAGGAACAAAUACAACAGUUGGAGUGAGUGUGAAUUUAUUUUUGCUCCGCAUCUAUUGUUUUCCAUUAAAACCUCAACACAACAC